GGCAAGGAGCCUUACAGGAGGUUUGUUCCAGCCGCACAGUCAGCCCUCGGCUGGCAGGCCUCUGUGUUCUCUUCCACGCGAGGAAACGCACCAUCGGCCCUGACGGCGCUCGGCCAAAGGAGCACAGGCUGGAGUUCCGGCGUGCGAAAGCCUUGUGGUUGCAGCAGCCCUGGAGUCUCCUCCCUGCCCCUGGCGCCCCAGCCCGUGUUCUCAAGCGCUGCCCUGUGCCCGUGCCCGGCUCUCAGGACAAACAGUCCCUCAUCUCCGCCCGAAGGCCUCUCCAGAACACACAGGGGCCUUUCUCCCUGACGCGGAGAAGGACAUAAACAGACAUGAGCUUCUUCUCUCUCUCCACAGUGGGGCUUUGGCGCAGUGGCUCUUCCCUGCCAUGUCUCUCCGCCCAUGAGGCGUCCUCAGCCCCUCGUGUGGUCCCCUGGCUGGCGGGGCCGCUCAGCAGCCUGCUGAGCACGCACGGUCAUGCCUGAAGUGCUGCGAAGUGCACGGACUCCAGCAGCUCCGGCUCCACCCCACGGAGGAAUUCGCGGAUUGUUCCUUUCCCUUCCUUACACAUAGAUGUGCGUCCUUCUAAUCCAGUAUAAACUCACUACUUCUGAGAGCUGGCGAUUCCUGCCAAUACAACCUUAUGAGGUUAGUUUUGAAACUACUUGUAGAUGAGAAAUGAGGACACAGAAGCACAGUGUGAAGUCCUCUGUCCACAUUCCUGACACUAAUUGCAACCUGCAGCGUCUAACCGUGAAGCCUGACGUGUGUUAUAAUCACCAUCUACUUGGGGGGACGUAAACCAGGUCUGUUCAUCCUGGCCUCGUAUCGUGUACUGUCUGAGUUAUUCCUGUGUAGGCAUAAUGGUUUACUUUUUAUAGACUUUUAUACUUUGUCAUUUUCCUUAUGCAUUGCAUCAUGAAAAUGGCAUAAAAAUCCUCCUGCUGUAUAACUCAUUCCAUCAAAGUCCUUCCUUGACCACAAGGCUAAUCUAAGAAACUAAUAUGAGGGAAGUUAUUAAUAGUUUAUAAUGGGAUAACUUAACAAUUCCCUUACUUUGCACUCACUCCUGUAUCACAUUUAUAAAGACCCUUUGCCUAAUUCAAAACUAAAUAUUUGUGGAAAAUGCAGGCUCUGUAAUAGGAUUGAGGGCGAAUCUGGUUCUGACCAUGCCGAUCUCAAAUUAUAUCAUCUGCACAAACAUCUCUGUCAUUAUGAAGAAAGCCAUAUUCUAAAUGCACUCAACUCACAGACCAUCCCACCGUUAUCCCCUAAGAGUGCAUUCCAUGGUGAUGCAACUGGGUGGUUUUCUGCACCUGAAUGCCCUUCUUAUCUACAGAGAGCUGCCACCACCCUCUCUGUGCCCUGCCAUUCUUCGGGAAAUGAUCCUUCCUGCACUCUUAGCUCCAGGGUGUCCGCUGGGGCUGUCAUGCAUGUAUGUGAUUCUGCCUCCUCAGCCACCCAAAUUGUGACUGUUGAUUGACCUAAGCCACCAAAUCUUGCCCUAAGAAGUUGGGAUUAGGGUCCAUCAUGAGUCACUCUGAGUUCCAAUCUGUUUACAAAGCUGAGAUAUAUGUGCUUUGGUACCUAUGAGGUCACAGUAACUGCUGUGCAGAGAACCCAUGUCUGAAAAAAAAAAAAUAAAUGAAGUCAACUGGAAAAAAGAAUCUGAAAUGAGGGCACGGGCGGAUUCUGGCAACCCCAAGUGCCUGAGGCCAGCCCCACGCCGGCCAUCCUGCAGGCUGAAGGCGAGACACGCAGCAGCACUGCCCGGGGAGUCUCCGCUACACCCUGAGGCCUCGCGCUCAGCUCCUCGGGGAAGACUGCAGGCAGAAACUCAGGGAAAUGUUUUAACAUGGAAAACUCUGAGAUCAUCAGUUACGAGUGUGAGAGGGGAGAGGGAGAGGGGCAGCCACCCCGCUCACAUCCUGAGAGCCGUGUGGCUUCUGUUCAGCAGCAAUUUCUCAAGCCAGAGUAAGGCCGCAGCAGAGUCAGGCUUGCAGUCUGGCAACAGCACCGCUGUGACUGACAUCGGAACCUGCGUGGUCCAUGCUGGCCGCAGGGCUCAGAGAGAAGCAUCCCUAGAUGGUGCAUGCAGAAGACCCAGUUACUAGUAUCACUGAAAUCAUAGGAAAUGCCUUAGGGUCUUUCAGAAAUAAUCUUGUGAAGUUUUGGGAUGGAGGGUAACGGGGACAGAAGAGUGGCUUUAGUGAAUGCAAACAGCACUGCACAACACAGCUUAUUGAAAUGAAUGGGACAUGUUUUCUUCUACUGAGAACUCGUAUGACACAGGUUACACUAGUUUAAUUUCAUUUUAUAUUUUCGAAAUAUUUUCUCAUGAAAUUAUAUAUAUUCAUGGUUUAAAAAGAUCAACAUGUAUAGAAAGUUUCCUACAUAAAAGUGUAUUCUCCUCUCCCAAUCUCACUUCUCAGAAAUAACCACUUUUAUAUAUUUUAUUGUUUUU
Molecule: long non-coding RNA, 2464 nt
Organism: Microcebus murinus (gray mouse lemur)
Lineage: Eukaryota; Metazoa; Chordata; Mammalia; Primates; Cheirogaleidae
Source: RefSeq, a predicted model, not a curated record